GCUGGGGAUCCCGAUGUGGGGUUUGGACUCCUUGCUCCUUGGGGAGAACCUCUACCAUUGUGAUUAUCCUCCUGUUUGUGGGUCACCUUGCCUGGGGAGUGGGUACUGACUAUACCCUGUCUCACUGUGGUUCCUUCUUUAUCGCUUUAGUUGUGGGAAGUCUUUUCUACUAGUCUCCAGGUCAUUCUCAUAGACAGUUCUUCUGGAAACAGUCGUGACUUUGGUGUGCCCCUGGAAGGAGAUCAGCUCAGGGUCUUCCCACUCUGCCAUCUUGGCCACAUACCUCAAGAAACAUUUUUUUUAUAGUAUUUUGUGGUUUCUGAAUUGUUUUCACGAACAUUAUGUUUCAGUGAGGUAGGUCUUAUUAUUUCUAUUUUAUACUAGUUGAGACUGGGGUCGGAGAGGCUCAGCAGCUAUUUGAAAGGUUCUGGCUGAGCCCUGUAAGGGUGCUCCCUGACCAGCAGCAGCAGCAUCACUCAGGGAAAGUGAGAAAUGCGCGUUCUCAGCCCCCACACCCUAGACUUCCUGAAUCAGAAACUCUGGGGUGGAGCCCAGCGAUCUGUGUUUUAACAAGGCCUCCUGGUGAUUCUGAAGCACACUCCAGGGUGAGAACCACACCUCAGUCUACCCAGGAAUUUGUUAGGUUAAAAAAAUAAACGAAAACAAAACAGUGAUGUCCGUUUGGACCUUUCUCCAAAAUCCUAACUCCUCACUUUGACUCUAGAGGCAGUUACUCUCAUCAUGAAAACAGAACUAAUCACAGCUGCUGGGUGUUUUUAGAUGAACCCAUUUUGUCUUUUGUAGGUCACAUUGCAGAGGAGAAGAGGGAUAAAGAAUCCUCUCUAUUCAACAGGGAUGUAAGUGAUGAGCAGUUAACAACCAUAAAUAAAGGAAUACUUCCAGAAGCAAUCAGUCCAGAUGUUCCAAGCAGGAGUAUGCCAUGCGCACAGCUUCUGCACUUUCUGCAGAGGGACAUCAGCAUCGCCACUGUCUCGGUGGCAGGAAUCCUCACGGCCACAGUGUCGCUGCUGCUGGCGUUGGUCACGUACAUCAGGAAGAAACAGCCAUUAUCUCCUCCAGCAAACAUGACCUACAAUAUUUUUAUAAUGAAUGGAAAGACUUGGUGGCAAAAGUCUCAAGAAAAGAAGACCAGAAAACAUGGAGGAAAACAGGAACAGUUGAAGUUACAUUCCCGUGUCUAAGCCAGGUGAUGGGGCCAGCCAACCAGCACCCAAAGCCGUGAUGCGAGGCGAUUCUCCAUCCGGACUCCGUGGAGAGGCAGUUGGAUUUCUGGCUGUGAGGUGCACCCUGCAAAAUGUUUACCUUUUCCUCUCAACUUUGAAUGGACCAAGAAAAUUUUGACCACAGAAUGCUCAUAAUGGUAAUGGCGUUAAUGACUAGUACAGGAGACUUAGCACAUUUCCCCAAAGACUGACCUGACACACAAUGGAUUCAUUUAUUAAAGCAGUGCUUCAUUUUCUCAGCCGUUCACUGAACAGAUAUGAAUUGAACACCCCAUAUACAGACAAUAUCAAAAUACAUGAGGCAACCAAAGAUACUCGAAUCAGCAGGCAUGGCCCUCACAGGUUUCUGAGGACAUGGCAGGCAGCUGGCUGAGGCCCUUUGGUAGUCGGUCUAUGCCUCUCUGUCCCCAUGGCCAAAGGGGCCAGGGGUCUGAGGGCUGGGGUCCAGAGGAGAAAGGUGAGAAGCGGGGGACUCAAGUUGGUGUUGCAGGCUCAAGAGAGCAGCCAUUGCAGCUCAGGCAACUCUCGCCCCUACACUGGAAGGCA
Molecule: non-coding RNA, 1790 nt
Organism: Delphinapterus leucas (beluga whale)
Lineage: Eukaryota; Metazoa; Chordata; Mammalia; Artiodactyla; Monodontidae
Source: RefSeq, a predicted model, not a curated record